This 4744-nucleotide long non-coding RNA is filed under the name Heterocephalus glaber (naked mole-rat). RNAcentral describes it as "lncRNA (ENSHGLG00100032837.1)". The record is from RNAcentral. Lineage: Eukaryota; Metazoa; Chordata; Mammalia; Rodentia; Bathyergidae.
CAGAGAAAUGGUAGAGGGGGUGGGAAGAUGCCAGAGCUGGGGACAGCGAGAGCAUGAUGCGUGCGCAUGUGCACAUGCGCACAUACCCACACACAUAAAUUGUCACAGAGAAAAGCGCUCAGCCAAGAAAGGGAAUGCGGACAGAGAGCGCGCUGUGUGCUGGCCUCCUCUCCUCACAGGGUGGGCUAGGCCCCGGGAGGGACAGUGGGGGCCACUCACCUGCUUCAUACAGCACUGACAUCCACCCGCUGUUGCAAUUCUCCAAAGGCUCGCCCACAUCAGUCCUUUGAGUCACUACUAGAGGAACAAGAAUAGAAAAGCCCAAAUAUAAUAUUAAAAAAAGGUGCUGCAUUAGCUCUUUGAUGCAGAGAUGAACUUGCCUAAUGUCCACUUACAAUAUCCAGCCCAUUGGUUUGAUGAUGUUCAGACAUUCUCAUAAUACAGAUUGUGAUGUGUUAGGUUAGAAAUGCUACCCUGACAGCCCCAGGGUCCUCAUUGCCCUGGGCCACCUCCCAGGCACAGCCCUAUCACAGUUUUUGCCUCAGAGCUCUUUGAAUCCCAGCAGGAUGCUCCCCCAGAUGGACUAUUCAUGAGCUCUACCAGAAGCACUUACUGCUUUUUUUCUCCCAAGACUCCUUUUUGUCUUCCUUUAAGAGCAGUUUAGUUUUACAGCAAAAUUGAGGGUCAGGUGCCGAGAUUUCCCAUAUACUCUCUUGUCCCUCAUAUUACCUUAUCACUUCUUAAAACCAUCUCGUAAAGUUACUUUUUCUCGGACCCCAGUGCUUGCCGUUUGAGGUCUCACCUCCAGAGGGAUUACUAAAUAUGUACGGGGUUUCUGGGCCCACCUUCUCCCCUACUUGGUGCCCUUUCCAAGCACACGGGCUAGCAUCACUUUCUUGUGGACACUGAUGUAUCUCUUGGAUUUAUUUAUCAGAAAGUCUCACACUGGAGAGAUGCUUUUGUAACUCUCAAAUAUGGGGAGUCCCUUGGAAGGUUUUUUGUUUUUCUGAGGAUUGAACCUGGGGCCUCACAGAUGCUGGGGAAAGCACUCACCACUGAGCCACAUCCCCAACCUUGAAGAAUAGUUUUGAUAAGGAGCAAACAUUCAAGUAAACUUGUUUUGUAUUUGGCAUCCUUAUGUGCCAGAUCCCGUGCUAAAUGUGUUUGCAAGCCUUGUCUCAGCCCUCAGCAGUACCGACCGGAGCUGUUUCCACCCUCUCUGUUGGUGGAGCUGUUGGAGGGAGACGUCCUCACACCCCUGCCCCCAUAAAGCUUGCAGGUGGUUGAGCCUAGUGGAUGCCCAGGCAGGCCAUCAGCACAUCACUGUGGCCAACAAGGUCAUCACUCCCCAGUAGGGAAUCUGAGGCCCAACAGGUUAACUCCCAGGCUGUCCCAAGGCUCACAGUAGCAGAGAUCAGCCUGGAUCGCACCAGCUUCCUUACACAGCCUCCCUACACAGCCUCCCUGAUAUCCCCUGGGGAAAAGCUGGUCAGGACAAGACGAAGGGCUCAGAGGAUGGCCCACUGCACCUUGUGGGUCUCCAGGGCAGCUGACUUAUGCACGUUCCCUGCCUCCCGCCUAUCUCCUGCAGCCUCCAAAGAGGUAUAUUGCUGCUUACAGACGUCAGAGCGUUUUAAGGUACAGUCAGUGAGGGUUGUUUGGUUUGUUUUAUUUUCUUUUUUGUGGCACAGGAAGCUUAGAAAAUAAUAAAAUACUAUUUAUUUGAGUUACUGAAACAGAUUCAUUUAAGGCUUAUGUAAAAAUUCUGUUUAAAUAUUCUUUUUCUCUAUGAUUUUCCUCUGAGGCCUUCAGCAUGGUUUAGUUUGGGGUAAAUAAUUGCCUUUAAAAGGAGAAAACAAAUCAAUGCUGCAAAGUGUGUGUUGAAGGGAAUCCAGUGUUGCCACUGUCUCACAUUUUGAAAUAAUUUUGUAACUGUAAAGAUGGAAGAUACGUUGAUAAGUAGAUAUGUAAAAUUGUAAAUAAGUAAAAGAAAAAAAAGAAUGGCAUCUGCUGUGCAUGGCAAAAAGAAAAAGGUAUAUUGCCCAGUCACAGCUCUUAACUGCCCAGUUUCCCCGGAGGCCGAAGGUAAGAGACUCAGCACAGAGCCUGAUCCUGGGCCACCUGGACCUUUGCAACCUAUGGCUGCUCCUCCACAUGCUGUCUGCUUCUUCUCUCCAGCAGCCACUACUCAGAAAUGCCUUUUGCCUGGAACCAGAAGAUUCCAUUUUGGACACCCACUGAGCUGGGUCAACAGGGACUGCUUGGGGAUACAUUCCAGUCUCUCAGUGGAUGCCUGAAACCAUGGAUACUUCAGCAGCCUGCUUCCCGUUCCUCUUGCCUCCUGACAAGUGCUCCUGACCUCAGCUGGAGACCAGGAAUGAGGCUGCUUCUUCUGUCAUGUGGCUCAAUGAUGUCAUCAAAGACCCAGAUUUUUCCCUUGUGGUUGGUUACAAGAUGGUUUGCAACUUCAGACUUUAUCAUUUAUAUCCAGGAAGAAAAAGAGAAUGCCUUGCUUCUGGCAUUUCCAGAAAAUGCUGUUCUAAGAUUGUCUUAAGUGACUUGAGGCUUAUGAUCAAUUUUAAACCAAUCAUUGUAGCCAGAAGGCGGGACUAUACUGAUAGCAAAGGUUAUAAAUCUCACUCCUGGAAGCAGCAGUGAUGUUAGCUUUUUUUGAACGACACUGAAUUUCAAGUGACGAUUAGGAGGGGAAAGUGGGAAAGUAUGCUGAAGAGGAAACCAAGCUAUGUGCAACAAUGGCCUGAUCAUGAGAAUCAGAAAAUGUUGAUUUGGGUCAACGUGGAUUGUGAUAGUGGGGAAAUCCUUAGCUACAGCACUGGUGGCCAAGUGUACUUGUGAGGGGAGAGUAAGUGGGCUUCUGCCCCAAGCAGUGUUUCGUUCCUAGGAGUGGGGUCUUGGGUCAACAGUUUGCAAUCCCUUUCUGCCAGCACUCGGGCAGGUUCAUUGGCUAGGCUGAGAAUAGAUCCUCGCAAUGACUCUGGAAUGCACUUGGUUGGAAGAGCUGAAUGCCAGAACUGAGAGCUGGCACCUUGCUCAGCCACUCCUGUGGCCAGAACCCUAUUCUCCCCAAAGCAGGUGUGGCGGCAUGAGUGUCUCUCCAUUGUAUUUCCUUGUAAUCUGGACAUUAAUCCAAGCUCAGCAGAUGUAAUGCUAUCACACACAAUGGUACUGUGACCAACCUCAGGCCUUCUUGUCAUCACAGGUUGCAGCACACAAUCCCAUGUGAGAGCUUGUUUACUUGUAUGCAAUACACAGGUUUUGCUUGGUUCAAUGUACUGUGUUACAACCACCCAGCAAUUUGCAUGUUCUUCCUGAUUAUCUGGUAAUUAAACCCAGUAAGUACAAACAUAUUGUAAUUAUCGUGUAACCGACCAUCUGGACAGAGAGAUGGAAAUAACUGUGUAUUUAUGCUAUAGCUGUAUGAUAAUUAUGAUGUAAUGGAAUGAUCAGCCAUGAAUGAGAAGAAAGACUUGAAAGAGUCAUGAUCAUACUUUAACAUAUUUCUAGCAUUAAUUCUGACAUUAAUUUUCUAGAAAUAGCAGAGCUGUAAGGUAACUUGGCUGAUGAAUCCCAUCCGGAUGGAGGCAUUGAAGGCGUAGUUAAAGACUAACUAAUAAGGAACUGACUGCUGAGCAGGAAGUAAAUGUGCCCACUCAUUUAUUUGGAUCUUGUUUACACUUCAUUGGACAACACUAAGCGUUUGUUUAUUUGAACUGGUCUCCCAUUUGCAUGAGAGGCCUCUGUGCCUGUCAGUAAAUGAUAAUGUGUUUGAGUUUGGUUAGUGUGUUUUGCUUUGCGGAUCUUAGAUUCUUGGAGGAUAAAAUUGGCUGUUCAACCACAGAAGAAGUUUUAAUAUAAUAACAUUUGUACUGUUAGGAAAUUGUUUGAAAAACACACUUACCCUUUUGGCUAAAACCACAAACAAUAUCCUAACCAAAGACUGUGCUAAACAUUGUUUCAUGGUACUUUAAUUCUGAUGCAUAUAUAUAGGGAACAAAGAAAAUAGUGAAUGAAGCAUGAGCAUAUGGCAAAGGCAGAAAAAAAUGACUAUAAUUUCAACAUGAAUAUAGCAGGGUUUCAGCAGAUGAACUUGAAUUUUUAGGUUAUAAGACUUAAACUGCUAUAUUUCUAUCAAAACUAAAAUGUUAUGAAAGUAGAAUGGUCAUUUCAUAUACCACUAAAAAGGAAAAAAUGCCAUCAAAUAAAUAUCAUGCAAUGUUUUCUUGCUAUAAGAAUUCUUAAAUUACAUUUACUGAAAGGGCUUUUGUAUUUAGAGAUGGAUUUUAAUCAUAUUUUUUUUUGUGUGUGUGAACUCAGUGAAGAAAUAAAUCCACAAGGCAUUCCUACAACACCUUCCAAUGAGGAGUCCAAACCUUUUUUGAAUUGCUAUUUGAGUUUCUGAUGUCUGUGUUUUUGGUACACUAUGAUCCUCCAAGCCAUUGUGCAUAUUGGUGAUUCUGCAUUUCCUAAAAUGGUACUUGGCCAUUGCCUCUUCCAUUUUCUUCCCAGGCGAUUCCACCCAUCCCACGAAUUAUACAGCAUUACUUGUGGCUCAUCAUUUGUAAUGGUUCUGAAAUGGUAUUCACUGUUCUCAUUAAGAUUUUGAAAGUUUUCCUUCUGCAAAUAUUUAUAAGAAUAUUAUAUGAAUAAAAGGAAACCAAUAAAACAAAACAGUCUUCUUUGGAGUCACAAUUCUUCAAGUUAAGAUUCUUUCAGUAUGAGUCAG